UGGGGAAUAUUGGGCAAUGGGCGGAAGCCUGACCCAGCAACGCCGCGUGAAGGAAGAAGGCCCUCGGGUUGUAAACUUCUUUUGUCAGGGACGAAACAAAUGACGGUACCUGACGAAUAAGCCACGGCUAACUACGUGCCAGCAGCCGCGGUAAUACGUAGGUGGCAAGCGUUAUCCGGAUUUACUGGGUGUAAAGGGCGUGUAGGCGGGAGAGCAAGUCAGAUGUGAAAUUCCAGGGCUCAACCCUGGAACUGCAUUUGAAACUGUUUUUCUUGAGUGAUGGAGAGGCAGGCGGAAUUCCGUGUGUAGCGGUGAAAUGCGUAGAUAUACGGAGGAACACCAGUGGCGAAGGCGGCUUACUGGACGGUAACUGACGUUGAGGCUCGAAAGCGUGGGGAGCAAACAGGAUUAGAUACC
This 417-nucleotide ribosomal RNA is filed under the name uncultured bacterium. RNAcentral's name for it is "bacterial SSU rRNA". It matches the Rfam family "Bacterial small subunit ribosomal RNA", at positions 355 to 786 of the family's 1533-position model. The record is from RNAcentral.